This 102-nucleotide ribosomal RNA is filed under the name uncultured bacterium. RNAcentral describes it as "partial 16S ribosomal RNA". It matches the Rfam family "Bacterial small subunit ribosomal RNA", at positions 408 to 508 of the family's 1533-position model. The record is from RNAcentral.
AUGAAGGCCUUCUGGGUUGUAAACUUCUUUUAUGUGGGAAGAAACCACUUUUUCUAAGAGUGUUGACGGUACCAUAGGAAUAAGCACCGGCUAACUCCGUGC